AGGUAAGAGACAAAGAGAGAGAGAGCGAGAGGUAAGAGACAAAGGGAGAUAGAGCGAGAGGUAAGAGACCAAAAGAGAGAGCGAGAGGUAAGAGAGAGAGCGAGAGGUAAGAGACAAAGAGAGAGAGCAAGAGGUAAGAGACAAAGCGAGAGAUGAGAGACAAAGGUAAGAGACAGAGAGCGAGAGGUAAGAGACAAAAAGAGAGAGCGAGAGGUCAGAGACAAAGAGAGAGCGAGAGGUAAGAGAGAGAGCGAGAGGUAAGAGACAAAGAGAGAGAGCGAGAGGUGAGAGACAAAGAGAGAGAGCGAGAGGUAAGUGACAAAGAGAGAGAGCGAGAGGUAAGUGACAAAGAGAGAGAGCGAGAGGUAAGUGACAAAGAGAGAGAGCGAGAGGUAAGAGACAAAGAGAGAGCAAGAUGUAAGAGACAAAGAGAGAGCAAGAUGUAAGAGAGAGAGAGAGUGAGAGGUAAGAGACAAAGAGAGAUAAAGCGAGAGGUAAGAGACAAAGAGAGAGCAAGAUGUAAGAGAGAGAGAGCGAGACAGAGGUAAGAGACAAAGAGAGAUAGAGGGAGAGGUAAGAGACAAAGAGAGAUAGAGCGAGGGGUAAGAGACAAAGAGAGAUAGAGCGAGCAAGAGGUAAGAGACAAAGCGAGAGAUGAGAGACAAAGGUAAGAGACAAAGAGAGAGAGAGAGCUAAGAGACAAGGAGAGACAGAGCGAGAGGUAAGAGACAAAGAGAGAGAGUGAGAGAGAGGUAAGAGACAAAGAGAGAGCGAGAGGUAAGAGACAAAGCGAGAGAGCGAGAGGUCAGAGACAAAGAGAGAGAGCGAGAGGUAAGUGACAAAGAGAGAGAGCGAGAGGUAAGUGACAAAUACAGAGAGCAAGAGGUAAGAGACAAAGAGAGGGAGCAAGAUGUAAGAGAGAGAGAGAGAGAUGUAAGAGAGAGAGAGAGAGGUAAGAGACAAAGAGAGAUAGAGCAAGAGAUAAGAGAAAAAGAGAGAUAGAGCGAGAGGUAAGAGACAAAGAGAGAUAGAGCGAGAGGUAAGAGACAAAGAGAGAUAGAGCAAGAGGUAAGAGACAGAGAGAGAUAGAGCAAGAGGUAAG
This 1102-nucleotide long non-coding RNA is filed under the name Salmo salar (Atlantic salmon). RNAcentral's name for it is "lncRNA (ENSSSAG00000091103.1)". Lineage: Eukaryota; Metazoa; Chordata; Actinopteri; Salmoniformes; Salmonidae. The record is from RNAcentral.